AUGCUAACUCAUAAAUCAGCUUUUUCUCCAGUCUCUGCUGUCUCCCGUCCCUCCUCUCCUCCCAGAUCCUCUAAUCCACGUGGGCCAAAAGAGGAAAGGGAGUGUUAUUACUGUCACCAGGUCGGCCAUGUCAUUACAAACUGCUUGACACUAAAAUGCAAAGAGCAGUCCUCACGCCCUUCUCAAGCAAAAGGGGUAGGACUGAUUAAAGCAGAUUGUGGUGUGAACAUUGACUCAUCUGAUCAGAAAAUUGAUGACUGUUUUAAGCCAUUCGUGUUUGAUGCCUUUGUGUCAUUGACCGGUGAGUCAGCUGAUAAACACCCCAAACGGGCUUUGAGAGAUACUGCAUGCUCUCACUCUGUUAUUCUAGCGUCAGCUCUGCCUUUUUCUGAUAACUCUGCUUGUCAUUACAGUUUAGUUCUUAGAGGAGUUGAAAUGGGUUACAUGCCACGGCCAGUGUACCGCGUCUAUAUUCAGUCCUCCCUUGUUACUGGAUCCUUCCCAGUAGCGGUCUGUACUGAACUGCCAAUCCCUGGUAUUGUUCUCCUGAUGGGAAAUGAUAUCGCUGGAGGUAAGGUAACCCCCACACCAGAAGUCCUGGAUCAACCCCAGUGUGAUGGGAUCCAGACAUCAGUUCAGACACCACCAAAUGUGUUUCCGGCCUGCACUGUAACUCGCGCUCGUUCCCGUGAAAUUAACCCAGAUGACCAUGAAGUUUCAUUGUCUGACAGUCUAUUCGUGUCAGUUUAUUCAGGUGACAAUGAGAAAAACAAAGAGGCUGAGAGCUCCUUAUUGCCUGUCCAGGAUGCAUCUGCUAAGCAUACGCCCCCGACUGGCCUGGAACUGCCGUUAGCUGGAGAUGCGGCAUUUCCAGUCAGCCGAGCGUGCUUGAGCCAGAUGCAGAAAGCAGACCCGACAGUCUUUGCCAAGGUGGUGAGUAACGACAAAGCAAGGGGUGAACAAGUAUCAUAUAUUAUGGAUGGUGAGAUGCUGACACGUAAAUGGUCUCCCCGUGUAACUGGUGAUUCCGAUUGUGAUUCUGUUUACCAGAUAGUUGUUCCUGCAGGGUGCCGCCAGCAUAUCAUGUCAGUGGCUCAUGAGAGUAAGUGGGCAGGACAUUUGGGCAUAACCAAACGUAUCAAGCCAUCCUCUGACAUUUCUAUUGGCCAGGUUUAA
This 1176-nucleotide long non-coding RNA is filed under the name Sparus aurata (gilthead seabream). Its description in RNAcentral is "lncRNA (ENSSAUG00010012192.1)". Lineage: Eukaryota; Metazoa; Chordata; Actinopteri; Spariformes; Sparidae. The record is from RNAcentral.